This 253-nucleotide ribosomal RNA is filed under the name uncultured bacterium. RNAcentral describes it as "partial 16S ribosomal RNA". It matches the Rfam family "Bacterial small subunit ribosomal RNA", at positions 524 to 776 of the family's 1533-position model. The record is from RNAcentral.
UACGGAGGACGCAAGCGUUGUUCGGAAUCACUGGGCGUAAAGCGCGUGCAGGCGGCUUGGUAAGUCGGGUGUGAAAUCCCGGUGCUCAACUACGGAACUGCACCCGAUACUGCCUCGCUAGAGUCCCGGAGAGGAUGGCGGAAUUUCCGGUGUAGAGGUGAAAUUCGUAGAUAUCGGAAGGAACACCAGCAGCGAAGGCGGUCAUCUGGCCGGUGACUGACGCUGAGACGCGAAAGCGCGGGGAGCAAACAGG